UGGGGAAUAUUGGACAAUGGGCGAAAGCCUGAUCCAGCCAUGCCGCGUGUGUGAAGAAGGUCUUCGGAUUGUAAAGCACUUUAAGUUGGGAGGAAGGGCAUUAACCUAAUACGUUAGUGUUUUGACGUUACCGACAGAAUAAGCACCGGCUAACUCUGUGCCAGCAGCCGCGGUAAUACAGAGGGUGCAAGCGUUAACCGAAAUUACUGGGCGUAAAGCGCGCGUAGGUGGUUUGUUAAGUUGGAUGUGAAAUCCCCGGGCUCAACCUGGGAACUGCAUUCAAAACUGACUGACUAGAGUAUGGUAGAGGGUGGUGGAAUUUCCUGUGUAGCGGUGAAAUGCGUAGAUAUAGGAAGGAACACCAGUGGCGAAGGCGACCACCUGGACUAAUACUGACACUGAGGUGCGAAAGCGUGGGGAGCAAACA
RNAcentral lists this ribosomal RNA (427 nucleotides) under uncultured bacterium. Its description in RNAcentral is "partial 16S ribosomal RNA". It matches the Rfam family "Bacterial small subunit ribosomal RNA", at positions 355 to 774 of the family's 1533-position model. The record is from RNAcentral.